Molecule: non-coding RNA, 233 nt
Organism: Pantherophis guttatus
Lineage: Eukaryota; Metazoa; Chordata; Lepidosauria; Squamata; Colubridae
Source: RefSeq, a predicted model, not a curated record
AAAGCCGCAGCGGGGUAAACAAGGAGCGUGGACGCGUGCAAGCUCCAAAUGGCCCAGGGAGAGAUUUGGCAAGCAGACCCAAGAAAAGCUCAGAAAAACGAGGGCAAGUCAAGGGAGAAGAAAUGAAGGUGGAGAAAAAGAAUCCCAAAGAAGGAAAGAACAUGCAAUAUAAGUGAAAAGCAGACUUUUUUCAGAAUACUGACUGCUGCUUUGCUGAAUCAAGGAUAAUGCUC